GCUUGACGUCGGGAGUUUGAAUCAGUCUGAGUUUAACAUAACAAAUAGACGGUUGGAAUGUUUAUUAUAUAUUCUAAAAAGUUAAGCUACAGAACGCUGGUUUCUAAUUUGCUUUGAUUUUACUUCAAAAUAGCUGAUUCUCUGAUGCCUGCACAAUCCAAGUGGAUGCAACUUUUCCUGCAAGGAGACUGAACACAUACUUUGGGAUUAGAAACAAAACAGCAGAUGACAACAGCAAAUUUUAUUAUGUCUGUGUCAUACAAGCCCCCCGGGGAAAGCUGAAGAGAGACCUUCCAAGAAAAACCUGGUGGUGUGACCUUGAAGUUGACACCACAAAGAUGGGUUAUACGUGGCGACAGCUGGAGAGAAUGGCCCAGUAUAGAGGACUCAGUAGAUCUGUUGUUGACGGCCCAUACCCUGACAGGGGUGACUGGCACUGAGUAAGUUAUACAAGCCAAUGUAAAAUUUAACAUAAACUAAAGUAACCAGCAGGCUGACCUGUUUGAGUCUCUGUAACUGUAGAGAUCUACACUGCACCCUGCUGGUGACUUCUGUGCAUCACAUGCGCUGGCAGGCUUGAUUUGGGUUAUAAACCGUUUAAAUGGGUUAUAUUUUUAAGAAUUAAUUUGAUUC
Long non-coding RNA from Carassius gibelio (silver crucian carp), 633 nucleotides. RefSeq lists it as uncharacterized. The record is from RefSeq and is a predicted model, not a curated record. NCBI's taxonomy places the organism in Eukaryota, Metazoa, Chordata, Actinopteri, Cypriniformes, Cyprinidae. The transcript is spliced from 3 exons.